GUGUGUGUGUGUGUGUGUGUGUGUGUGUGUUGUUCCACAGCUUUCUCUAUAUCUUGUCCUAUAUGGAAAUGGAAGGUGUCCUCGCCUGUCCUCUACCUCACCCCAACCCACCCCCCCUCAGUGCUGUGCCUGUGUCCACUAUGCUUCCUGACCCACUAAUUGAGGUGUCUGAGUCAACCUACCAUAAGUGGUGUAACUCAAAACAGACAAUGUAGAUUUGAGUCUGGGCUCCUGUGACCCAUUUUAAGAAUUGUACUGUAUAAUAAUGAAUGAUGUGUAACACCACAAACCAUAGGGGGGUCCAGACCCACAGUCUGGGAACCACUGCUCUAAAGAGUGGAAACCAUAGGGGGGUCCAGACCCACAGUCUGGGAACCACUGCUCUAAAGAGUGGAAACCAUAGGGGGGUCCAGACCCACAGUCUGAGUGGAAAUGCAUGGAUAAUGCUGGAACCAGGGAAGGAACCAGGCUGUCCAAACACGCAGAAACCAGGGAAAGAACCAGGCUGUCCAAACACGCAGAAACCAGGGAAGGAACCAGGCUGUCCAAACACGCAGAAACCAGGGAAAGAACCAGGCUGUCCAAACACACAUGGACAAUGCUGGAACCAGGGAAAGAACCAGGCUGUCCAAACACGCAUGGACAAUGCUGGAACCAGGGAAGGAACCAGGCUGUCCAAACACGCAUGGACAAUGCUGGAACCAGGGAAGGAACCAGGCUGUCCAACAUGAGUUCACAGCAGAACCAGGCUGUCCAAACACGCAGAAACCAGGGAAAGAACCAG
Oncorhynchus tshawytscha (Chinook salmon) is the source of this 784-nucleotide long non-coding RNA. The record is from Ensembl. NCBI's taxonomy places the organism in Eukaryota, Metazoa, Chordata, Actinopteri, Salmoniformes, Salmonidae.